RNAcentral lists this ribosomal RNA (168 nucleotides) under uncultured Acidiphilium sp. RNAcentral's name for it is "partial 16S ribosomal RNA". It matches the Rfam family "Bacterial small subunit ribosomal RNA", at positions 337 to 522 of the family's 1533-position model. Lineage: Bacteria; Pseudomonadati; Pseudomonadota; Alphaproteobacteria; Acetobacterales; Acidocellaceae. The record is from RNAcentral.
UCCUACGGGAGGCAGCAGUGGGGAAUAUUGCACAAUGGGGGAAACCCUGAUGCAGCGACGCCGCGUGAACGAAGAAGGUAUUCGUAUCGUAAAGCCCUUUUGGCGGGGACGAUGAUGACGGUACCCGCAGAAUAAGCCCCGGCUAACUUCGUGCCAGCAGCCGCGGUA